UGGGGGGGGGGGGGGGGCUUACACAUGGCACGUCGAACGAAGCGAGAACUAAAGCGCAAGCAGAGGUUCUUGACUGACCCGUUUGACGGGUGAGUAACGCGUGGAUAACCUGCCUUUCACCCGGGGAUAACAGCUGGAAACGGUUGCUAAUACCGCAUGAGCCUCUUUUGUCGCAUGACGGGAGAGGGAAAGAGACCUCGGUGAGAGAUGGAUCCGCGUCCGAUUAGCUAGUUGGAGGGGUAACAGCCCAUCAAGGCGACGAUCGGUAGCCGACCUGAGAGGGUGGACGGCCACAUUGGGACUGAGACACGGCCCAAACUCCUACGGGAGGCAGCAGUGGGGAAUAUUGCACAAUGGGGGAAACCCUGAUGCAGCAACGCCGCGUGAGUGAGGAAGUAUUUCGGUAUGUAAAGCUCUAUCAGCAGGGAAUAGAAAAGAAGGUACCUGAAAAAGAAGCCCCGGCUAACUACGUGCCAGCAGCCGCGGUAAUACGUAGGGGGCAAGCGUUAUCCGGAUUUACUGGGUGUAAAGGGAGCGUAGACGGAAAGGCAAGUCAGAAGUGAAAGCCCAAGGCUCAACCAUGGGACUGCUUUUGAAACUGUCAAACUAGAGUACGGGAGAAGUAAGAGGAAUUCCUAGUGUAGCGGUGAAAUGCGUAGAUAUUAGGAGGAACACCAGUGGCGAAGGCGUCUUACUGGACCGAAACUGACGUUGAAGCUCGAAUGCGUGGGGAGCAAAUAGGAUUAUAUACCCUGGUAGUCCCCGCGGUAAACGAUGAAUACUAAGUGUUGGGGUAAAGAAACCUCCGGUGCCGCACAAACGCAAUAAUUAAUUCCACCCUGGGGAGCACUUUCGUAAGAAUUGAAACUCAAAGGAAUUGACUGGGAACCGCCUAUCCGG
Molecule: ribosomal RNA, 900 nt
Filed under: uncultured bacterium
Lineage: Bacteria
Description: bacterial SSU rRNA
Rfam family: Bacterial small subunit ribosomal RNA
Source: RNAcentral